UGCAGUGACAACUUGCCAUCACUUUCAAUGGUUAUAGAAAGUUCUGGUUUCCAAUAAAUCCUGGAGGUGUGAAAAAAUCAGAAGCUUUUCACCAUUUUUGAGAUUUUUGGGCACUGGAAGAUAUGUCAAACCAAUUACCUUAAAAUAUCGAACAUUCAAAAACUUUGCUUUUAGGGAGAUGGAGCACUGCUGUUUUAUCUUAAAGGGAUACUGCAAAUGGGGUGAGUUAUAAAACUGGAAAGCUAAGAGUGAGGACUCAUGGACUGACAUAAGGACCAUUCAACAGGGCUAAAUACGUCAUCUCCAUUGAUUCUGGAAGUGAAGAUGGUAGUUUUUUGCUUUCAACUUAUGACCACAUUUGCCAUGAUGUAAUAGAGAAAGUAUGGCCCAAACCAUAUCUAUUUGACACCAUUGAAACAAUCUGGAAAGCAUGUAAUAGUGCUGAAGAGAUGCAAAAAGAAGAUGCAAUUCUAUUAAGAUAUAUUUCUGCAUAUACCCCUGGGAAAAGGCUGCAAAGAUCCCAGCCACCACGUUUACCUUCAACACCAAAGACUUGCUUCAGAAUGAGAAGACACAGUGCUAUGCUCGCCCCCAAAGUGAAGGAAGGUGCAUAGGAAUGGAGAUUGAUUUAACCUCUACUGCAGAGAGGAGAGGAGAAAUGUGGUGGAUGUCCUACAAAUGUCAGUGACAAGAUCCAGGAAUCAACGCAUUCGGGAAUUUUCGCAAAAGCUCAGGACCUCUUAAGGGUGAAGAUCUCAUUGAGGGAGGUUUUUCAGCAGUGGAAAAAACCGUAGGCCUGCGAGUUUGGAUCCCGUGAUGCAUUGCUGCUUGAAGUUACAUCUGCUCCUCUCUUUCAUCUCUCCUCUUGUUAACUGGGAGCUGUCACAUUAGGAGACUUCCGCAGAGCUCCUGAAGCCAACUGAACAGAGACUGCCCUACUGAAAGCUUUCUGAAGUCGUUCCUGAAAUACAAUGCAUAAUCUCUUGAGAUUAACUCAAUGGCAAAAAUUAAAAUGUAGGUUUAAUUUGGCACCUUCCACUUAACUGAUUCCUAGCGUAUGAAAAAAUGCUUCAGUUAAGUACUUAAGAUGACAUUUAAUUGGUCCUGAGGUUCAUGCUGCUCUCUUUAAAAUCUCUGUACCCUUUAAAAACUUUAAUCGCUGUCUUUCAGGCAGGGUUAUACUUCUAAGGUACAUAAAAGCUUUAAAAGGGGGCUGACUGAGAAACUUGUUCCAAACUACACAGCUGUUCUCGGUGCCUCUUAGUACCUCUGAUAAGAAAAGGGGUUGUUGGUGGGAAAGAGUUUUGGAAAACUGUCGGGGCCAGUUGUUGCUGUUGUUUUUUUUUAACUCUAAUUAAAUGAGAAGGGAAGCACCAGUAAAUAAGCAGCUGAAGGAAAUGAGGAAUUAUCCUUGCUUCUGAGAUCUAUUUUAAACACGUGAAAGGGGUAGUGGGCUCUUUUGCUGCUUUCUGCUUCUAUUGCACGGUUACAGCUCGUGAGGCCUAAUCUGAAGUACCAAAGAGGUGGAAAGUUAUCCAAAAUUGCUCUCUUGUUUAAAAAUAAUACAUACAUUACUGUUAGUCAUUCUGUGGCAUUAGGACUUACGGUUACAUUUCUGUGAAGUGUUUUUGUAUGUUCACGUUCUCCCUCUUGCUUUUUUUUUGUGGCAGUGCUGCUCCUUUCUAACAGUUUUUUAGUGCUGAGAACUAAUGGUAAGCUAUAUUUUAUCCCCAAAAUGUUUAAUAAGGCAAAAUGUGAUUAUUUGAAUUAAUUAAAGUAUGCAAAAACUAUGUCUGUAAUGAUAGUCACCUUUAAACGCGUGCUUAUGUCUAUUGGUUUAUAAAUAUUUGAGGCAAAUAUGCAAAUUUGAUACACUAGCAAUGCAAGGCAUUAUAGAUCAUUUGCAAGGGUGUUGUAGUGUGAGUUCAUAGGUAAGCAAUGAGUGGUGUUUGUUAAGGGAAUGUGCUUCAGCUGGGUGUUUGGAUGGCAGUAGUUUUUCUUCUAAAGCUUAGCUAUUAACUCCAUUGUAAAAUACUGCAGAGUUGUAUCUCAGCCUUUUUAAGUGAUUGCUUGACUCCAGUGACUGUUCAGUAUGGCAACUAUAGUCAAAAUAUGUCUAUUUGAAACAGAUGUAAUCAUUAGCAGGCCUUCUAAACUAUGGCUUCCAGCUUCUUCUAAGUCAAACUGUCUCCUAAGCAGGUUAGGAGAUAGAUGAUUAUCACUCUUUCCUCAUGCAUCAAACGUAGCCAUGUUGCUGCAGUGGGAAGGAGGUGGAGCCAAAGAAACAGGGCUCACUGCUUAGUUAGCAGCUAGGUUUGCUGAUACUCAUGCUCCUCGUGAUGUCUCAUUGAUCCUGUUAAAAAAUAAGUAUUAAUACUUAUCAACAGGCACUCUAAGGAAUGUUACUCCCCAGUAUUAGCUUUAGCUUUUUGGUUUUGUUUUUUAAUUGCAUUGUGUUGCAAUGCUACGGAAUGCUGGAAGGAAGGUCCUCUGGUCUGCUAUGAUCCCAGAGAAGCAGCAUGUCAGCACCUAGGGUGGAUUUAACCACAAUGCAGAGAGCAAGAGUGGGCUACAGUGAUCUGCUAUGAGAGAGAGAGAGAGAGAAAUAGCAGAGCCUGAGCAAGGCCUUGUCAGAAACAGAAAAGAAGCAAGAUUGUUUUCCAGACUGCUCUCAUCCCGACCUUAAGAUAGGGAUUUCUGACUGACCCUGAGCCAUGAAGCAUUAAAAACGCAACAAAUGAUCCACUGGGCUCUCACUUCUUGACCUCCCUGUGAGUCGAGGAGCUUUUCUAGCUCUUACUGAGAGAAUGAUAUAAUUUCUGUAGUUAUCUUUGAAGGUCUCAGACUGAGUUUCUCACCUGCCUAAAGAGAACUUGUGGCAACAACUACCAUUUCACUCCAGUUAUUUUCUCAUUUUAGGAUAGCAGUUCCUUCACUUCUGCCACUUGACCAGAAGAAUGUGAACCUGCCUGCCUGGUUUCAGU
Molecule: long non-coding RNA, 2984 nt
Organism: Tympanuchus pallidicinctus (lesser prairie-chicken)
Lineage: Eukaryota; Metazoa; Chordata; Aves; Galliformes; Phasianidae
Exons: 7
Source: RefSeq, a predicted model, not a curated record